Molecule: ribosomal RNA, 460 nt
Filed under: uncultured bacterium
Lineage: Bacteria
Description: bacterial SSU rRNA
Rfam family: Bacterial small subunit ribosomal RNA
Source: RNAcentral
GACGAACGCUGGCGGCGUGCUUAACACAUGCAAGUUGAACGGGCGAUAUUGGAAGCUUGCUGAAGAUAUCGUUAGUAGCGGACGGGUGAGUAAUGCAUGAGGACCUGCCUUCUGGAGGGGGACAACAGUUGGAAACGGCUGCUAAUACCCCGUAUGCCGAGAGGUGAAAGGUAUGGAGACAUACCGCCUGGAGAGGGACUCAUGUCCUAUCAGCUGGUUGGUGAGGUAACGGCUCACCAAGGCGACGACGGGUAGCCGGCCUGAGAGGGCGACCGGCCACACUGGAACUGAGAGACGGUCCAGACUCCUACGGGAGGCAGCAGUGGGGAAUAUUGGGCAAUGGGGGCAACCCUGACCCAGCGACGCCGCGUGAGGGAAGAAGGCCUUCGGUCGUAAACCGCUUUUGUACGUGAAGAAGCAGAUGACGGUAGCGUACGAAUAAGUCCCGGCUAACUACGUG